Long non-coding RNA from Ornithodoros turicata, 655 nucleotides. RefSeq lists it as uncharacterized. The record is from RefSeq and is a predicted model, not a curated record. The transcript is spliced from 4 exons. Lineage: Eukaryota; Metazoa; Arthropoda; Arachnida; Ixodida; Argasidae.
GUUCGACACGUGUAGACGUGUAUGGCACCAACCCCUAUUGAGCCCGUCCAAUGGAGACAGAGUUCAUGUACCCAAUCGCACGCUUUCUGCUUUCUUAGCUUUCCAGUGCGUCUUUGAUAUACGCUAACAUUUGCUGUGAGCAUCGCAGUUGUUACACGGUCAUCAAAGAAUUCCUUUCCGGUAUUUGUUUCGGAAACUGCAGUUUUCCAGUUGGUCUUCGAGGAGCUAUCUCUCAUCAUGAAGGUUCUCGCAUUUGCCCUGAUGUUUUUGGCGCUUAUCUCCCUCGUCGUGUCCCUCUGCGAGAGUGAGGCAGAAAGCGUCGCCGCAUCAUGUACGGAGAAGGUGAGGGAGAGUUGGAAAUACAUCACUAUACAGGAUCCACUACUUGUCGGGCGUUUCAUCUGCUGCAUGGCAGACGACCUGGAUCUAUGUGUUCGAGGACGCUUGACGGGACCAUGUUCUGAUUUAGCGGCUUCGGCAUCUGAAAAGGCUAGAAAAGAUUUCUUCAGUGCUAUAGGGCGAAGCAUGGAGAUGUGCGUUGACCGCACGGGUCUCGAAUGCAAUGACCUGAACCCUAAUUUUGGAAACUUAGCGACCAUGCAGGAUUAAUCGCAUCGUUACUGUUCUGUAUUAAACCUGACAUUCUGACAUUUGC